Molecule: ribosomal RNA, 253 nt
Filed under: uncultured bacterium
Lineage: Bacteria
Description: partial 16S ribosomal RNA
Rfam family: Bacterial small subunit ribosomal RNA
Source: RNAcentral
UACGGAGGAUGCAAGCGUUAUCCGGAAUGAUUGGGCGUAAAGCGUCCGCAGGUGGCUGUGUAAGUCUGCUGUUAAAGAGUGAGGCUCAACCUCAUAAAGGCAGUGGAAACUACAUGGCUAGAGUGCGUUCGGGGCAGAGGGAAUUCCUGGUGUAGCGGGGAAAUGCGUAGAGAUCAGGAAGAACACCGGUGGCGAAAGCGCUCUGCUAGGCCGCAACUGACACUGAGGGACGAAAGCUAGGGGAGCGAAUGGG